GAUAACAGAUUUGUGGCAGCCAAACAUCUACAGCGAUGAUGUUUUUUAUCCUUUGAUGUCGGGUCUUUCUAUCAUUUUGAAACAGAAUUCACCAUUGCAUUGUUCACCUAUCAAUAAGAAACAUGAGCUGAGAUAAGACCGUUGUGAAACAGAUU
This is a ribosomal RNA of Vigna angularis (adzuki bean), 155 nucleotides long. It matches the Rfam family "Eukaryotic large subunit ribosomal RNA", at positions 2825 to 2984 of the family's 3401-position model. The record is from Rfam. Lineage: Eukaryota; Viridiplantae; Streptophyta; Magnoliopsida; Fabales; Fabaceae.